RNAcentral lists this ribosomal RNA (365 nucleotides) under Escherichia coli. Its description in RNAcentral is "partial 23S ribosomal RNA". It matches the Rfam family "Bacterial large subunit ribosomal RNA", at positions 1085 to 1448 of the family's 2925-position model. The record is from RNAcentral. Lineage: Bacteria; Pseudomonadati; Pseudomonadota; Gammaproteobacteria; Enterobacterales; Enterobacteriaceae.
CCAGACAGCCAGGAUGUUGGCUUAGAAGCAGCCAUCAUUUAAAGAAAGCGUAAUAGCUCACUGGUCGAGUCGGCCUGCGCGGAAGAUGUAACGGGGCUAAACCAUGCACCGAAGCUGCGGCAGCGACACUUAUGUGUUGUUGGGUAGGGGAGCGUUCUGUAAGCCUGUGAAGGUGUGCUGUGAGGUAUGCUGGAGGUAUCAGAAGUGCGAAUGCUGACAUAAGUAACGAUAAAGCGGAUGAAAAGCCCGCUCGCCGGAAGACCAAGGGUUCCUGUCCAACGUUAAUCGGGGCAGGGUGAGUCGACCCCUAAGGCGAGGCCGAAAGGCGUAGUCGAUGGGAAACAGGUUAAUAUUCCUGUACUUGG